RNAcentral lists this transfer RNA (106 nucleotides) under Urocitellus parryii (Arctic ground squirrel). RNAcentral's name for it is "Spermophilus parryii (Arctic ground squirrel) tRNA". It matches the Rfam family "tRNA". From Rfam's summary of the family: Transfer RNA (tRNA) molecules are approximately 80 nucleotides in length. Their secondary structure includes four short double-helical elements and three loops (D, anti-codon, and T loops). Further hydrogen bonds mediate the characteristic L-shaped molecular structure. tRNAs have two regions of fundamental functional importance: the anti-codon, which is responsible for specific mRNA codon recognition, and the 3' end, to which the tRNAs corresponding amino acid is attached (by aminoacyl-tRNA synthetases). tRNAs cope with the degeneracy of the genetic code in two manners: having more than one tRNA (with a specific anti-codon) for a particular amino acid; and 'wobble' base-pairing, i.e. permitting non-standard base-pairing at the 3rd anti-codon position. RNAcentral also lists the same sequence under 1 other name. Lineage: Eukaryota; Metazoa; Chordata; Mammalia; Rodentia; Sciuridae. The record is from Rfam by way of RNAcentral.
GUCAGGAUGGCCGAGUGGUCUAAGGCGCCAGACUCAAGGUGAACACCUUACCUCCGGGUGUUCUGGUCUCCGAAUGGAGGCGUGGGUUCGAAUCCCACUUCUGACA